Molecule: microRNA precursor, 60 nt
Filed under: Saccoglossus kowalevskii
Lineage: Eukaryota; Metazoa; Hemichordata; Enteropneusta; Harrimaniidae
Description: Sko-Mir-10-P3_pre stem-loop
Source: RNAcentral
UCCCUGAGACCCUAACUUGUGAGAAUUACCCAGCAUUCACAGGUUAGUGGCUUAGGAAUU